GACGAACGCUGGCGGCGUGCCUAAUACAUGCAAGUAGAACGCUGAAGUCUGGUGCUUGCACUAGACGGAUGAGUUGCGAACGGGUGAGUAACGCGUAGGUAACCUGCCUCAUAGCGGGGGAUAACUAUUGGAAACGAUAGCUAAUACCGCAUAACAGUAUUUACCGCAUGGUAAUAGUGGGAAAGGAGCAAUCCGCUAAUAGAUGAGCUUGCGUCUGAUUAGUUAGUUGGUGGGGUAACGGCCUACCAAGACGACGAUCAGUAGCCGGACUGAGAGGUUGAACGGCCACAUUGGGACUGAGAUACGGCCCAG
RNAcentral lists this ribosomal RNA (312 nucleotides) under uncultured bacterium. RNAcentral's name for it is "bacterial SSU rRNA". It matches the Rfam family "Bacterial small subunit ribosomal RNA", at positions 28 to 334 of the family's 1533-position model. The record is from RNAcentral.